This 1008-nucleotide ribosomal RNA is filed under the name Acromastigum mooreanum. RNAcentral's name for it is "eukaryotic LSU rRNA". It matches the Rfam family "Eukaryotic large subunit ribosomal RNA", at positions 80 to 1097 of the family's 3401-position model. Lineage: Eukaryota; Viridiplantae; Streptophyta; Jungermanniopsida; Jungermanniales; Lepidoziaceae. The record is from RNAcentral.
CUAGUAGCGGCGAGCGAACCGGAAAGAGCCCAGCUUGAAAAUCGUGGGGCUUUGCAUCACGAAUUGUAGUCUGGAGAAGCGUCCUCUGCAGCGGACCGGGCCCAAGUUCCCUGGAACGGGACGUCGGAGAGGGUGAGAGCCCCGUCGAGCUCGGACCCUGCUGCUCCACGAGGCGCUGUCGGCGAGUCGGGCUGUUUGGGAAUGCAGCCCUAAGUGGGUGGUAAAUUCCAUCCAAGGCUAAAUACUGGCAGGAGACCGAUAGCGAACAAGUACCGCGAGGGAAAGAUGAAAAGGACUUUGAAAAGAGAGUUAAAGAGUGCUUGAAAUUGCUGGGAGGGAAGCGAAUGGAGGCUGCGGGUGCGCCCCGGUUGGAUGCGGAACGGCGUGAGCUGGUCCGCCGCUCAACGCGGGGUGCUGGUCAGCGUGGGCUAUCCCGGCGGGACAAGAGCGAGCUUAUGUUGCUGGCCUAUGCCGUUGGGAUGGCCGAGGAAGGAAGCGCGCGCCUUCGGGCGGCCCUCGGGACCUGCGCGCUCGGGACGCUGGCAUAUUGAGCUUUCCAUCCGGCCCGUCUUGAAACACGGACCAAGGAGUCUAACAUGUAUGCGAGCCGGUGGGUGGCAAACCCAUGGAGGCGCAAGUAACCUGACAGGUGGGAUCCGCAAGGAGCACCAUCGACCGACCAUGAUCUUCUGUGAAAGGUUUGAGUGUGAGCAUACCUGCUGGGACCCGAAAGAUGGUGAACUAUGCCUGAGCAGGGCGAAGCCAGAGGAAACUCUGGUGGAGGCUCGUAGCGAUACUGACGUGCAAAUCGUUCGUCAGACUUGGGUAUAGGGGCGAAAGACUAAUCGAACCAUCUAGUAGCUGGUUCCCUCCGAAGUUUCCCUCAGGAUAGCUGGAGCUCAUGUAAGAGUUUUAUCAGGUAAAGCGAAUGAUUAGAGGCAUCGGGGGUGAAACACCCUCGACCUAUUCUCAAACUUUAAAUAGGUAAGCCGCCGGGGUGCUUGAUGA